AUUGAACGCUGGCGGCAGGCCUAACACAUGCAAGUCGAGCGGAUGAGAGGAGCUUGCUCCUCGAUUCAGCGGCGGACGGGUGAGUAAUGCCUAGGAAUCUGCCUAGUAGUGGGGGACAACGUUUCGAAAGGAACGCUAAUGCCGCAUACGUCCUACGGGAGAAAGUGGGGGAUCUUCGGACCUCACGCUAUUAGAUGAGCCUAGGUCGGAUUAGCUAGUUGGUAGGGUAAAGGCCUACCAAGGCGACGAUCCGUAACUGGUCUGAGAGGAUGAUCAGUCACACUGGAACUGAGACACGGUCCAGACUCCUACGGGAGGCAGCAGUGGGGAAUAUUGGACAAUGGGCGAAAGCCUGAUCCAGCCAUGCCGCGUGUGUGAAGAGGGUCUCGGAUUGUAAAGCACUUUAAGUUGGGAGGAAGGGCAGUAAGCUAAUACCUUGCUGUUUUGACGUUACCGACAGAAUAAGCACCGGCUAACUCUGUGCCAGCCGCCGCUGUAA
This 499-nucleotide ribosomal RNA is filed under the name uncultured bacterium. RNAcentral describes it as "partial 16S ribosomal RNA". It matches the Rfam family "Bacterial small subunit ribosomal RNA", at positions 30 to 523 of the family's 1533-position model. The record is from RNAcentral.